RNAcentral lists this ribosomal RNA (239 nucleotides) under Trachylepis damarana (Damara skink). Its description in RNAcentral is "partial 16S ribosomal RNA". Lineage: Eukaryota; Metazoa; Chordata; Lepidosauria; Squamata; Scincidae. The record is from RNAcentral.
UACAAACAUAAGACGAGAAGACCCCGUGGAGCUUAAAAUUAACCACUAACUUUUAUGUCCUAGUAUUUUAUUUUAAGUUGGGGCGACUUCGGAAUAAAACAAAACUUCCGAGCACAGAACCACACCUUCCAACCAAGGCCAACAAGCCAAACAAAACCGACCCGGCCGAGCCGACUAACGAACCAAGUUACCCCGGGGAUAACAGCGCUAUCUUCUUCAAGAGUCCCUAUCAACAAGAA